RNAcentral lists this ribosomal RNA (463 nucleotides) under uncultured bacterium. Its description in RNAcentral is "partial 16S ribosomal RNA". It matches the Rfam family "Bacterial small subunit ribosomal RNA", at positions 28 to 507 of the family's 1533-position model. The record is from RNAcentral.
GACGAACGCUGGCGGCGUGCUUAACACAUGCAAGUCGAACGGAAAGGCCUUUUCGGAGGUACUCGAGUGGCGAACGGGUGAGUAACACGUGGGUGAUCUGCCCUGCACUCUGGGAUAAGCCUGGGAAACUGGGUCUAAUACCGGAUAGGACCGCACUUUAGUGUGUGUGGUGGAAAGUUUUUUCGGUGUAGGAUGAGCCCGCGGCCUAUCAGCUUGUUGGUGGGGUAAUGGCCUACCAAGGCGGCGACGGGUAGCCGGACUGAGAGGUUGGUCGGCCACAUUGGGACUGGGAUACGGCCCAGACUCCUACGGGAGGCAGCAGUGGGGAAUAUUGCACAAUGGGCGCAAGCCUGAUGCAGCGACGCCGCGUGGGGGAUGACGGCCUUAGGGUUGUAAACUCCUUUCGCCAGGGACGAAGCGUUUUGUGACGGUACCUGGAGAAGAAGCACCGGCUAACUACGUG